Molecule: ribosomal RNA, 460 nt
Filed under: uncultured bacterium
Lineage: Bacteria
Description: partial 16S ribosomal RNA
Rfam family: Bacterial small subunit ribosomal RNA
Source: RNAcentral
CCUACGGGUGGCAGCAGUGAGGAAUAUUGGUCAAUGGACGAGAGUCUGAACCAGCCAAGUAGCGUGAAGGAUGACUGCCCUAUGGGUUGUAAACUUCUUUUAUAUGGGAAUAAAAUGUUCCACGUGUGGGAUUUUGUAUGUACCAUAUGAAUAAGGAUCGGCUAACUCCGUGAAAGCAGCCGCGGUAAUACGGAGGAUACGAGCGUUAUCCGGAGUAAUUGGGGUUAAAGGUAGCGUAGGUGGAUUGUUAAGUCAGUUGUUAAAGUUUGCGGCUCAACCGUAAAAUUGCAGUUGAAACUGGCAGUCUUGAGUACAGUAGAGGUGAGCGGAAUUCGUGGUGUAGCGGUGAAAUGCUUAGAUAUCACGAAGAACUCCGAUUGCGAAGGCAGCUCACUGGACUGCAACUGACACUGAGGCUCGAAAGUGUGGGUAUCAAACAGGAUUAGAUACCCGAGUAGUC